RNAcentral lists this ribosomal RNA (429 nucleotides) under Pseudomonadota bacterium. Its description in RNAcentral is "Proteobacteria bacterium partial 16S ribosomal RNA". It matches the Rfam family "Bacterial small subunit ribosomal RNA", at positions 355 to 776 of the family's 1533-position model. The record is from RNAcentral. Lineage: Bacteria; Pseudomonadati; Pseudomonadota.
UGGGGAAUAUUGGACAAUGGGCGAAAGCCUGAUCCAGCCAUGCCGCGUGUGUGAAGAAGGUCUUCGGAUUGUAAAGCACUUUAAGUUGGGAGGAAGGGCAGUAAGCGAAUACCUUGCUGUUUUGACGUUACCGACAGAAUAAGCACCGGCUAACUCUGUGCCAGCAGCCGCGGUAAGACAGAGGGUGCAAGCGUUAAUCGGAAUUACUGGGCGUAAAGCGCGCGUAGGUGGUUCGUUAAGUUGAAUGUGAAAGCCCCGGGCUCAACCUGGGAACUGCAUCCAAAACUGGCGAGCUAGAGUAGGGCAGAGGGUGGUGGAAUUUCCUGUGUAGCGGUGAAAUGCGUAGAUAUAGGAAGGAACACCAGUGGCGAAGGCGACCACCUGGGCUCAUACUGACACUGAGGUGCGAAAGCGUGGGGAGCAAACAGG